UACGGAGGGUGCAAACGUUGUUCGGAAUUAUUGGGCGUAAAGAGCAUGUAGGCGGUUGUUUAAGUCUGAUGUGAAAGCCCUGGGCUCAACCCAGGAAGUGCAUUGGAUACUGGACAACUUGAGUACGGGAGAGGAAAGUGGAAUUUCGAGUGUAGGGGUGAAAUCCGUAGAUAUUCGAAGGAACACCAGUGGCGAAGGCGGCUUUCUGGACCGAUACUGACGCUGAGAUGCGAAAGCGUGGGGAGCAAACAGG
This 253-nucleotide non-coding RNA is filed under the name uncultured bacterium. RNAcentral describes it as "partial 16S ribosomal RNA". It matches the Rfam family "Bacterial small subunit ribosomal RNA", at positions 524 to 776 of the family's 1533-position model. RNAcentral also lists the same sequence under 1 other name. The record is from RNAcentral.